RNA transcript from Hevea brasiliensis (rubber tree), 4157 nucleotides. RefSeq lists it as uncharacterized. The record is from RefSeq and is a predicted model, not a curated record. The transcript has 14 exons. Lineage: Eukaryota; Viridiplantae; Streptophyta; Magnoliopsida; Malpighiales; Euphorbiaceae.
CCCAAAUUGUCCUAAUUUGAUAUCUUUACCGGAGUGGAUAGGAAGCCUAACUUCAUUACAAGCUUUUGGGAUUCAUGAAUGUCCUCAACUGCCAGAAAGAUGCAAAAACAAAAUGGGUGCUGAUUGGCCCAAGAUUGCUCACAUACCAAAUAUUGAUAUUGAGGGAAGAUCGAUUCAAGUGGAUGGCAGAUACAAACUAUAAUCAGAAGAAUCAGACUUUUCUUGGGAGGUGGAAAAUUUAUUUGUUCUGAAAACAAAAUGAAAUUCAACUUUUCACACUUAUUCAAAUCUUACUUAUUCCUUCCAUUCAAUUGUGUGGAAAAGAAAAUGACAAUCUAAAGCAUUUGCACCAAAUUGAGGUCUAAUCUCCAGGCAUGUGAUCUGGAAGAAUUGUUUGGAACUUUUGCCACCAGAUGCAUGUUCCGAGUGUUCAGUGCUUCAGGUUGGGUCAAGAUUGCAGUUGAAGAUCAAAUCUAAUAAGAAUUAUAUUUUAAGUAGGUAUUCCAUUCUUUUUGUCUUGUCAUAUUUAGCUUUCCUAUAUUACAUUAAGUAACAGAAGCUCUACCAAAGUAUUCUCACCUCUUACAAAUUGGUAUCAAGGUGUUCUCAGUCUCAUUUCUGACUUUAAAGAUCUCGGUCACGAUGUGUUCUGUGAAUUUAUACUAUUGGGCAGUACUAAAUCAAACAUGAUUUGCAAUCAAUCAUAUGAACGGAGGAACUUUGGCUACUGUUUAUCCUUUUAACGGUAGUUUGAGGCUGUUCUGCUGAUAUUGCGACUCAGUAGAUUGAAGCAUUCCCAUGUAAUUUUAAGUGAGCUAUGGAAUUUCAAAUAAGCAUUCUGCAAAUAUGGUCUUCAAUUUCAGAGUUUGGAAAAUGAUAAUGGUUCUAUCUUGUUGAAAGAAGCCAGAAAAGAGCAAUUGUGAAUUGGCCUUGCAAUGAUUAGAGAACACAAGGGAUAGCCCAAGGAUGCUCACCUCCCAGAGGUUGCAUUGGGCAUAAAAAGAAAACAUCCUGCAGUUCACUGCUUUACAGUUACAUGAAAACAAAUCUUAUCUCUUGCCUAUGGUUCUGUUUUGGAGAUUUUGAAGCCCGGAAUCCAUAAUUUUCCCCCUCUUGAACUGAUUGGCAUUUUAAGUGGCAAUAUGUUCUGUGAAUUUAUUAGCCUGCAAAGAAAUUGAAGCAUUCCCAUAUAAGCUUGUGUGAGCUUUGGAGUGUCAAAUGAGCAUUCUGCAAUGCUUGCUUCUUCAGUUUUAGACUUUGGAAAUUGAUGAUGGUUGGUUCUGUCUUUUUGAAAGAUGCCAGAGACGAGCAAUUGUGAAUUGGCCUCUCAUGUGCCACUAAGUGCUAGUUUAUUGCUAUGACUGCAUGAAAAAUUAAGGGGCCAUUGCCUAUCUGGUGGACAACUGAUCACCGAACUUAUCAGCAAUCAUUUGCUAAAGGAUCUAGAAUUUCUGCUAGAGAACUUGCUGCAAAACCUCACUUCACUUCAAUGCCAUAAUAUUUGGGAUUUCCACAAGUAACAACCUUGUCUUCUGAUAUACGGCAUUGAGAAGUGGAAAAAUCGUUGGUUCUGAAAAGAGAGAGAGAGAGAGAGAGAGAGAGAGAGAGAGAGAGAGAGAGAUUCAACACUUCAUAUUGCUUCAAAUCUAACUUGUUCCUUGCACCAGUUGAGUGGAAAACAAAAUGAAAAUCAGUAGUUUCUUUGAGAAGAUGUAAAGCAUUUGCCCAAAAUUGAGAAUUGUUUGGAACUUUUGUCACCAAAUGCAUGUUCUGAGGGAGAUCUAGAGUGUUUGGGACUUAAGGUUGUUGAAGAUCAAAUCUAAUAGGAAUAAGAUUUUAUGCUGUUUUACUGAUAUUGUGAAUCAGUAGAUUGAAGCAUUUCCAUGUAUUUUUAAUUGAGCUAUGGAAUUUCAAAUAAGCAUUCUGCAAUUAUUGUCUCCAAUUUCAGAGUUUGGAAACCGAUAAUGGUCGUCUUGUUGAAAGAUGCCGGAGAAGAACAGCUAUGAAUUGGUCUCUCUUGCUCAAGAAAGUGUUUUUUUUGUCUGGUACAUCGUGCAAAAUUUUCAGCCUUUAUGGACCCAAUUUCAGUUUAGACUUCAAAGGAGAACUUGUGGGCACAACAAUCAUGCAGAACUACAUGUUUUAACUGGAGAUGCCACUGUGAAGAGGUCCCAUAAUCCCUUGUAGUUUUAGCUUCUACACUUUGCAAGAGACUUGGUUUUCUAUGCAGAAACUGACAAGCUGGUAAUUGCCUCAGUUAAUAAAAUGAUGAACCUCCCUAUAUUCAAAUUUUAAACUGAAGCAUUGUUUGUUGUUCUCAAAAUGAAAUGCUGUGGCUGUCUCUAAGUGUAAUCUUCUUGUUCAUUGUGAAUUUGAUGUCAUUACCUCAAUGGAUGCCCAAACUCACCUCAAAGCAGUUGUUUAUAGAUGUUGAUGUUGACAAUUGGAUGGGAAUCAUUGUGAUGAAGGUCAUUUUCAUCUAUCAACUCUCUUCAUCUCAUUCCUUUAGAAACUGCUGAUUGCAAGGAUUUUCAUAUGUACAAUAAUGAAUGGCUGUGGAUGAACUUCAACUUGCCGCCACAUUUUAACAACUUGGGACUGUAGAAUUUCUUUAUUGAUGGCUUCUUCAGAUAAGGCACAACUUCCAAUUUUCUCCAACCAGUUAAGAGGAGAUAACAGGGUGAAUUAUGCUUCUGUGGAAAAUGAUUUCUAACUAAUAACCCUUAAAAUUGGGAUCAGUCUGACUGACUACUUGAGGAGACAACAUCGAAACAAACUUGUUGCCAAAUUUUCUGAAACCAACUUUCUUCUUAUGUCAUUCACAAGUGAAACUAUAAAAUUUAUUGUUGCACUGAUUAUAUGCCUUUGCAAGUGUGAUUUAUAAGUUUCUUUUUCAUGUGAAAUAAGGUUAAUGUGUGUCCACAUUUUUAUGUAGUGAGAGAAAAGCACAUCCAUCAGUCAUAGCAAUUCUUGCACAUGCAAAUAGUUGUCAAAUUCCAUCUCUUGUACAAAUGUUAGGUGUGUUCCACAAUACCCUUCAUUGUCUCGCUCCUCCAAAGGUUGAGAUUAUGUUUUGGUUGGCGUGCCUUGGCAGAUUGGUCUCAAAAGAAUGGUUAUGUAGGCUCAAUAUUAUCCCAGCAUCCGAGAUUCUUUGUCCCCGUUGUAGUGAUGCCAUUAAAUCAGUCACUCAUAUCUUUUUGGGGUACAAAACUUCAUGAGAGGUGUGGUCUUGGUUCUUUAAUUGGUAGGGAAUUUAUUUGUGUAUUCGUAAUUCUGUUUCUUUGUUGCUGCUAAAAUGGAAAAUUUUGGCUCAUGGGAAGUUUCAGGUCAAAUUCUGGUACACUUUAUUUUUCUCAAUUAUGUGGUCCAUCUGGCUUAUGAGAAAUGAAGGAAUUUUCUCGGGUGAGGAGGUGUCAUUGCUCUCUCUGUGUUCUCUUAUUCUCCAUCGAGUAGCCAUCUGGCUCAAGGCAAUGGAAGCUAGCUUCCCAUACUCUGGUUUGGAUCUGCUGUCUUCAGUCUCUUCCAUCAAAGCAUCAACCUGUAUCUUCCUGGACCCCUCCGCCUCUAAAUCAGCUCAAGUUGAACGUUGAAGGUUCCUCCCUAGGCAUGCCCGGCCCUAGUGCUGUUGGUGGAGUUUUGAGAGGUUCAUAUGGUAAACCUUCUCUGCUUGUUCUCCUGCCCAUCUAGGAUUGAUGAUUCAAAUGCCGCAAGAGGCAAAGGCCAUUCAAAAAGUGUUUGUUGUCUGUUUCUCCCCCCUCUUUACCCUGCCAAUGCUGUCAGUAUCCUUGUUGAGACUGACCCUAAGAUCGCUGUGUCUUGGGUGAAUAACGAAGACAGUACUUCUUGGUGUGUGUGUCUCCUCGGUGCUGCACCCUAUUAGCUGCAACCUAAAGCGCCUCCCUAAUGCCGUGGUGAGUCAUUCUCAUAGAGAAGUGAAUUGCUUCGCUGACACUUGCAAUACAGGGAUUGUACCGCAAUUGUAUUUGUUAGCUUUCUUAUAAUUGCUUUGUGUCGGCUUUUGUUGACAUGGGUAGAACGUCUUGCUUCAUUAGGUUGGGUGUAAGGGGUAUGCCUGCUGGCAUGGGUUUAGUUGGAAGCAUCCUUCUAUCCUUUUCUUUUAUCAUUAAUAAAUAGCAUAUUAACCCUUUUUUGAGAAA